RNAcentral lists this long non-coding RNA (230 nucleotides) under Fukomys damarensis (Damara mole-rat). RNAcentral's name for it is "lncRNA (ENSFDAG00000026941.1)". The record is from RNAcentral. Lineage: Eukaryota; Metazoa; Chordata; Mammalia; Rodentia; Bathyergidae.
CUUGUCCAAAAUGAAGUGAGGAGUUAAAUAUAGCCUGUGGAAACUGUGGAGGCUGAGCAGAAUUCAGAAUCCACUGAAGUUCGAUAACUUCUCGCGCUAUGUUCUGCACAACAUUAGGGCUUCUGAGAUAUGGCUAAAAUUGUCUUCGUGGUCAAAUAUCUGGCAUAAAAAAAAGGAAUGUCGGUCUUCCAUGUGGCAGUCUUCCGCAUGAUAAAUUGAUAGAGCAGCCC